ACACUCCUACGGGAGGCAGCAGUGGGGAAUUUUGGACAAUGGGCGAAAGCCUGAUCCAGCAAUGCUGCGUGAGUGAAGAAGGCCUUCGGGUUGUAAAGCUCUUUUGUCAGGGAAGAAACGGUGAAAGCUAAUAUCUUUUGCUAAUGACGGUACCUGAAGAAUAAGCACCGGCUAACUACGUGCCAGCAGCCGCGGUAAUACGUAGGGUGCAAGCGUUAAUCGGAAUUACUGGGCGUAAAGCGUGCGCAGGCGGUUUUGUAAGUCUGAUGUGAAAUCCCCGGGCUCAACCUGGGAAUUGCAUUGGAGACUGCAAGGCUAGAAUCUGGCAGAGGGGGGUAGAAUUCCACGUGUAGCAGUGAAAUGCGUAGAUAUGUGGAGGAACACCGAUGGCGAAGGCAGCCCCCUGGGUCAAGAUUGACGCUCAUGCACGAAAGCGUGGGGAGCAAACAGGAUUAGAUACCCUUGUAGUCCCAU
This 474-nucleotide ribosomal RNA is filed under the name uncultured organism. Its description in RNAcentral is "partial 16S ribosomal RNA". It matches the Rfam family "Bacterial small subunit ribosomal RNA", at positions 333 to 798 of the family's 1533-position model. The record is from RNAcentral.